CAGUAGCCGCGGUAAAACGAAGGGGGCUAGCGUUGUUCGGAUUUACUGGGCGUAAAGCGCACGUAGGCGGAUCGAUCAGUCAGGGGUGAAAUCCCAGAGCUCAACUCUGGAACUGCCUUUGAUACUGUCGAUCUGGAGUAUGGAAGAGGUGAGUGGAAUUCCGAGUGUAGAGGUGAGAUUCGUAGAUAUUCGGAGGAACACCAGUGGCGAAGGCGGCUCACUGGUCCAUUACUGACGCUGAGGUGCGAAAGCGUGGGGAGCAAACAGGAUUAGAUACCCCCGUAGUCCCUGUCUCUUAUAC
RNAcentral lists this ribosomal RNA (301 nucleotides) under uncultured bacterium. RNAcentral describes it as "partial 16S ribosomal RNA". It matches the Rfam family "Bacterial small subunit ribosomal RNA", at positions 509 to 807 of the family's 1533-position model. The record is from RNAcentral.